CACAAAUAAUCUCUGCCUCUGAAUCUACAUUUUUAUGACACGGUUAUGCUAAUACAAGACAAACUUAUGUUUUGCUGUGUGCCUAAUCCACCUCAAAUUAAACCAUUUGUAUUCCUAUAAUCCAGCCAACUCUUUUCGCACCUCACGAAAGAGAGGACGAGAGGGCCCCCAGACGUACCGCUGAUAAAGAGGGACUAGAUCUGAAAGCAAAGGAGGUUGCGUUUUCACCCUGUUUUUCCCGUCUCAGAGAAAUUUGGGUAGACGGUCUCCUUGGGUGUCCGGCUUGUCAGAGAGGGCCAAGGGAGGAGUCACCUGCGCAGCGGCCUUUUGUCAUUCAUGCAAAAGUAUCGUUGAACGUUCUGCUUCCAGUUGCAAGCUGUACGUGCACACGCCGGCGCGCUCGGUAGGCCCUGCGGGAGCACGCGGGGCAGCCCACAGAGCCUAAAAAAAGCUGGUCAAUAGCAGAUAAAAUCCUAU
This 477-nucleotide long non-coding RNA is filed under the name Struthio camelus australis. RNAcentral's name for it is "lncRNA (ENSSCUG00000011140.1)". The record is from RNAcentral. Lineage: Eukaryota; Metazoa; Chordata; Aves; Struthioniformes; Struthionidae.